GACGAACUGUCCUAACGUUGUUCGGAAUCACUGGGCUUAAAGGGCGCGUAGGCGGUCCAACAAGUCAGGGGUGAAAUCCCCGGGCUUAACCUGGGAACUGCAUUUGUGACUGCAUGGCUGGAGUGCGGCAGAGGGGGAUGGAAUUCCGCGUGUAGCAGUGAAAUGCGUAGAUAUGCGGAGGAACACCGAUGGCGAAGGCAAGCCCCUGGGCAUGCACUGACGCUCAUGCACGAAAGCGUGGGGAGCAAACAGG
Molecule: ribosomal RNA, 253 nt
Filed under: uncultured bacterium
Lineage: Bacteria
Description: partial 16S ribosomal RNA
Rfam family: Bacterial small subunit ribosomal RNA
Source: RNAcentral